This 165-nucleotide microRNA precursor is filed under the name Glycine max (soybean). Its description in RNAcentral is "microRNA MIR4351 (MIR4351)". The record is from RNAcentral. Lineage: Eukaryota; Viridiplantae; Streptophyta; Magnoliopsida; Fabales; Fabaceae.
UUGGGAUUUGGGACUAACUGAAUUGGGAUUCAGUUGGAGUUGGUUACAGAAGUUCAACUGAAUUGGGAUUCAGUUGAACCUUUUUCAGUUGUAAUUCUCUGUUCUGAGUUCUUCUUCUGUAACCAACUCUAACUGAAUUCCAAUUCAAUUAGUCCCAAAUCCCAA